Molecule: long non-coding RNA, 226 nt
Organism: Lates calcarifer (barramundi perch)
Lineage: Eukaryota; Metazoa; Chordata; Actinopteri; Centropomidae
Exons: 3
Source: RefSeq, a predicted model, not a curated record
GUCCUUGAAGUAUAAGAACACUCAGCUUUAGGGGGGUUCUCAGAAGAAAUGACAUUGACUGCCGGAGCAGAACCAGACACUAUAUGAAUGAAGGGAAAAGUCUGCCCACAUCUUCUUUGGACCGGAGCCUGCAGAAAACCUCACCUGUGACUCUGGAGUGCCACCUGCCUGUCUAGAGCGGUUGAGCAGAAAGUAUGGGGCAAUGCUUUUGUUCAAAGUGUUCAGG